RNAcentral lists this ribosomal RNA (432 nucleotides) under uncultured bacterium. RNAcentral's name for it is "bacterial SSU rRNA". It matches the Rfam family "Bacterial small subunit ribosomal RNA", at positions 29 to 507 of the family's 1533-position model. The record is from RNAcentral.
AACGAACGCUGGCGGCAGGCUUAACACAUGCAAGUCGAACGAACCUUUUAGGUGAGUGGCGCACGGGUGCGUAACGCGUGGGAAUAUGCCCUUGAGUGAGGAAUAACGUAGAGAAAUUUGCGCUAAUACCUCAUAAUGACUCCGGUCCAGAGAUUUAUCGCUCAAGGAUUAGCCCGCGUCAGAUUAGAUAGUUGGUGAGGUAACGGCUCACCAAGUCGACGAUCUGUAGGGGGUCUGAGAGGAUGAUCCCCCACACUGGUACUGAGACACGGACCAGACUCCUACGGGAGGCAGCAGUGAGGAAUAUUGGACAAUGGAGGAAACUCUGAUCCAGCCAUGCCGCGUGAGUGAAGAAGGCCUUAGGGUUGUAAAGCUCUCUCAAUUGCGAAGAUAAUGACGGUAACAAUAGAAGAAGCUCCGGCUAAAUUCGUG